RNAcentral lists this ribosomal RNA (253 nucleotides) under uncultured bacterium. RNAcentral's name for it is "partial 16S ribosomal RNA". It matches the Rfam family "Bacterial small subunit ribosomal RNA", at positions 524 to 776 of the family's 1533-position model. The record is from RNAcentral.
CACGGGGGGAGCAAGCGUUGUUCGGAAUCACUGGGCGUAAAGGGCGUGUAGGCGGCCGGAUAAGUCGGGUGUGAAAGCCCGGGGCUCAACCCCGGGAUGCCGCCCGAGACUGCUCGGCUUGAGGACGGAAGAGGGGCGUGGAAUUCCUGGUGUAGCGGUGAAAUGCGUAGAGAUCAGGAGGAACACCCGUGGCGAGGGCGGCGCCCUGGUCCGUUACUGACGCUGAGACGCGAAAGCGCGGGGAGCGAACGGG